AAUUUUGUUGGGAACUUCGAAGGAAGAUCUGUCCAUGUGAAUGAUUUUUCUACAUAUGUCCAGAACUCUGCAGAAACAAAAGGGACAUGAUGGAUUAAAAUGAAAGGGAUAAUAAUAAAGUUGGUACAUUUUAAUUGACUAAAUGUGUAAACAGAAACGGGUGUAAUGUUCCGCACAAGAAUUUUUUACAAAUUACAAAAAUAAUUGUUACUUGGAGCAUGUUAUCAUGAAACAAAUAUCAGAGAUACGAAAAAAAUGCAUAUCAAAUCCAUUAAGAAUAAUUGAUUAUAUAUGUAAGACAGGAUAGAUGGAUAGACAGAGGAGAUGGAAGAUCAAGGAACCACUAAUAGCUUUCCUGAAAACAUUGAAACAAUGGUAUCAUUCGAUCCAUGCAGUCAACUCCACCUAGUGGAAAAAGGAUCUUUUUUUUUCUUAUUCCUUCAUUUACGUUAUAACUGAUGAAAAGAUUGUUUCACUCUUCCCUCUUACCAAUCUAGUAUCAACCAUUACUUCAGUUUAUGUUUCACUCUGCCAUCUUUA
Molecule: long non-coding RNA, 540 nt
Filed under: Phaseolus vulgaris (common bean)
Lineage: Eukaryota; Viridiplantae; Streptophyta; Magnoliopsida; Fabales; Fabaceae
Description: long non-coding RNA (PVUL_LNC003079)
Source: RNAcentral